Molecule: ribosomal RNA, 253 nt
Filed under: uncultured bacterium
Lineage: Bacteria
Description: partial 16S ribosomal RNA
Rfam family: Bacterial small subunit ribosomal RNA
Source: RNAcentral
UACGGAGGAUGCAAGCGUUAUCCGGAAUGAUUGGGCGUAAAGCGUCCGCAGGCGGCUGUGUAAGUCUGCUGUGAAAGAGCAAAGCUCAACUUUGUAAAGGCAGUGGAAACUACACGGCUAGAGUGCGGUCGGGGCAGAGGGAAUUCCUGGUGUAGCGGUGAAAUGCGUAGAGAUCAGGAAGAACACCGGUGGCGAAGGCGCUCUGCUGGGCCGCAACUGACACUGAGGGACGAAAGCUAGGGGAGCGAAUGGG